GACGAACGCUGGCGGCGUGCUUAACACAUGCAAGUCGAACGAUGAAAGCUGGAGCUUGCUCCGGCUGGAUUAGUGGCGAACGGGUGAGUAACACGUGAACAAUCUGCCCUUGACUCUGGGAUAACUCCGAGAAAUCGGUGCUAAUACCGGAUAUGACCCUUGGCGGCAUCGCUGGGGGUGGAAAGUUUUUCGGUCAAGGAUGAGCUCGCGGCCUAACAGCUUGUUGGUGAGGUAAUGGCUCACCAAGGCGACGACGGGUAGCCGGCCUGAGAGGGUGACCGGCCACACUGGGACUGAGACACGGCCCAGACUCCUACGGGAGGCAGCAGUGGGGAAUAUUGCACAAUGGGCGCAAGCCUGAUGCAGCAACGCCGCGUGGGGGAUGACGGCCUUCGGGUUGUAAACCUCUUUUAGCAGGGAAGAAGCGAAAGUGACGGUACCUGCAGAAAAAGCACCGGCUAACUACGUGCCAGCCGCCGCGGUAA
RNAcentral lists this ribosomal RNA (485 nucleotides) under uncultured bacterium. RNAcentral describes it as "partial 16S ribosomal RNA". It matches the Rfam family "Bacterial small subunit ribosomal RNA", at positions 28 to 523 of the family's 1533-position model. The record is from RNAcentral.